This 491-nucleotide ribosomal RNA is filed under the name uncultured bacterium. Its description in RNAcentral is "partial 16S ribosomal RNA". It matches the Rfam family "Bacterial small subunit ribosomal RNA", at positions 30 to 507 of the family's 1533-position model. The record is from RNAcentral.
AUUGAACGCUGGCGGCAUGCUUUACACAUGCAAGUCGAACGGUAACAGCCUUCGGGUGCUGACGAGUGGCGAACGGGUGAGUAAUGCAUCGGAACGUACCCAGAGGUGGGGGAUAACGCAGCGAAAGCUGUGCUAAUACUGCAUGUGAUCUGAGGAUGAAAGCGGGGGACCGAGCAGCAAUGUUUGGCCUCGCGCCUUUGGAGCGGCCGAUGUCGGAUUAGCUAGUUGGUGGGGUAAAGGCCUACCAAGGCGACGAUCCGUAGCUGGUCUGAGAGGACGACCAGCCACACUGGGACUGAGACACGGCCCAGACUCCUACGGGAGGCAGCAGUGGGGAAUUUUGGACAAUGGGCGCAAGCCUGAUCCAGCAAUGCCGCGUGCGGGAAGAAGGCCUUCGGGUUGUAAACCGCUUUUGGCAGGAACGAAACGGUGUCCGCUAAUACCGGGCGCUAAUGACGGUACCUGCAGAAUAAGCACCGGCUAACUACGUG